RNAcentral lists this ribosomal RNA (486 nucleotides) under uncultured bacterium. RNAcentral's name for it is "bacterial SSU rRNA". It matches the Rfam family "Bacterial small subunit ribosomal RNA", at positions 30 to 507 of the family's 1533-position model. The record is from RNAcentral.
AUUGAACGCUGGCGGCAUGCCUUACACAUGCAAGUCGAACGGCAGCGGGGGAGCUUGCUCCUGCCGGCGAGUGGCGAACGGGUGAGUAAUGCAUCGGAACGUGUCCUGUUGUGGGGGAUAACUGAUCGAAAGAUCAGCUAAUACCGCAUGAGACCUGAGGGUGAAAGCGGGGGAUCGAAAGACCUCGCGCGACAGGAGCGGCCGAUGUCUGAUUAGCUAGUUGGUGAGAUAAAAGCUUACCAAGGCGACGAUCAGUAGCUGGUCUGAGAGGAUGAUCAGCCACAUUGGGACUGAGACACGGCCCAGACUCCUACGGGAGGCAGCAGUGGGGAAUUUUGGACAAUGGGGGAAACCCUGAUCCAGCCAUGCCGCGUGCGGGAUGAAGGCCUUCGGGUUGUAAACCGCUUUUGUCAGAGACGAAAAGGGACGUACGAAUAAUACGUUCCGCUGACGGUAUCUGAAGAAUAAGCACCGGCUAACUACGUG